Molecule: long non-coding RNA, 399 nt
Filed under: Homo sapiens (human)
Lineage: Eukaryota; Metazoa; Chordata; Mammalia; Primates; Hominidae
Description: HSALNT0281498
Source: RNAcentral
AGCGGAGGAGGGAGGCGAGGCCAGGCGAGGCCAGGCGAGGCGACACGGGGCGCGGCAGGACAGUGGGGAGGGAAUGGGAGAAUUUAGAGGCCGGGUCAGAGGUCACGGGAACCUCUCCCAGUCCGCCCUGGCAUUUAGAUUUCUGCUUUGUACACAGUUGGGCGUUACAUUUGCAGGGCCUUCUCACAUGGAAAUGGCCCCGUAGUCAUGUCCUUGGCAACCAGCAGGCCUUGUUUGUGCCAGGAACAGACAGGUGGCCAGAGAUACAGCUGGAGGGAUGGGCAGGAACGCCGGAGCUCAGACAGACCCCAAAUCCUCGCCACCACAGGUAUCUGCAGGCUCCUCCAUUUUUCAGAUUUGUCUUACAUUUUGAAAUAAUAAAACGAAAUGACAAGAAAG